GACGAACCGUGCGAACGUUAUUCGGAAUCACUGGGCUUAAAGCGCUUGUAGGCGGCCCGGCACGUCCGUCGCUGAAAUCCCCCGGCUCAACCGGGGAAGGGGCGCGGAUACGACCGGGCUGGAGGGGGGUAGGGGAAUCGGGAACUUCCGGUGGAGCGGUGAAAUGCGUUGAGAUUGGAAGGAACGCCCGCGGCGAAAGCGCGGUUCUGGACCCCACCUGACGCUGAGACGCGAAAGCCAGGGGAGCGAACGGG
Molecule: ribosomal RNA, 254 nt
Filed under: uncultured bacterium
Lineage: Bacteria
Description: partial 16S ribosomal RNA
Rfam family: Bacterial small subunit ribosomal RNA
Source: RNAcentral